This is a long non-coding RNA of Rhea pennata, 4428 nucleotides long. RefSeq lists it as uncharacterized. The transcript is spliced from 2 exons. NCBI's taxonomy places the organism in Eukaryota, Metazoa, Chordata, Aves, Rheiformes, Rheidae. The record is from RefSeq and is a predicted model, not a curated record.
UGUUUGAGCACCAGUGUGAGUUAUGAGAUACACCGUGUGCCUUCCCCGACCAGGUCUGAGACCGAACACCAGGCAGGCUGCGAGGCUGACACCUUCACCCACCCACCCUUUCCUAAACGCAUCCUGCAGCCUUCCUAAGCGCACAGCACCAGAUCCUACUUUGCCCUGAAGGCACCCGUGGUGGACUGAGGACCGAACGGGCCAGCUAGCCUUCAGCCCCCACCCGAUUCCCAGUGCGGCUUGGGCCACUCCAAACCCUUGAGAGUAACAACUUCUUCUUGGGGAGCACAGCACAUCUGGAAUGGUUGUCAGAUUGGGGCAUGGGACUGAGGAUGCCUAGGUCCUGUUCCCACUAACUUCCUCUAUCCACCGUGGAAAAAACUAUUUUGACCACCUCUUGCCUGUUUUCUCAUUAGAGGAUAAGAAAAGCACCGGUCCCAUCACAGAGGUGUUGUGCUCUUUACCCUGUGAGCGGCUUUCAAAUUCCUGCAUGAAACCUGCUACGUAAACUUAACUCUUGAUUUCAGGUGUAGUGAACAUUCAUGAGGUUUAGCUCUCGUCUCAGCAGAAGAGCAGACGCUCACUCAUGCCUGAAAGCGUAAGAUGAAACCGUAUUUCAAACCUGAACCUCUUUGGAGGACCCAGCAUGAGGUCCUGACGCUGCUCCCCAGCAUGCCCAUGCCAUCGCCCAGGCACUCGUAGGCACCAUGCCCGCUAAGGCCCCACAGCCCUACACAGCCGGGUUUCUUCACUAAGGGCCUCUCGUAUGCACCCUGCUUGCUCCAUCGUCCCUUGGAUCAGCCAACUCUUUCCUUUGCUGCAGUAGAGGACAUUUCUUUCGAGGCACCAAGUGGGCUGGGACAAAAACCACCUGCAGAUGUUGCACGCCGAGACCUCACGUGUUCCUGGGGGAGAGCGGCUUGUCCAAGCCCUGCUCAGCUGUCCCAGGACGGUCCUUGUGACGAGGACACCGGUAAAAAAACUAAACAAGACAGCGCUGCCGAGAGAAUCCAUCCCGGAUUUUACGGCGUGCCUCCCGCGCGCUGGGGCAGGACUGGAGGAGUUUUGAGGGUGCCCUGGGAAUACCCGCACACUGCAGACGUAAUUAAUCAAGUUCAGAGGCUGUAUUCUUCGUUACUGUGCCUUGCUGCGCGGGGACAACCUCGGGAGUCUGGCGGACAACCGCUGCCUUGCUGGAAAACAGAUUUGUCUCUUCCUGGUGAAAAUCACACAUGAGAAGAACUUUCGUCUGCAUUUUUUGGUUUAGAAAGUGCCAUCUCUUGAGAAGCCUGAAUUCAAAAAAAGUUCCUCCAAAACUUUAAAAAUCUUUCAGUGAAAAAAAUUGAGUUUUGAAGCUUGAGGCCCAGAAGUUUGAAAGAUUGAUUGACAUUGUGCUUUUCCUGCAGAAAUUUCCAUAUUGGUUAAAAAAGGCAGUAUUGUUAGAACAGGGGAGGCUGUGAGCCGCAGCACACGAUUGCUGGUGCGAGAUGGGGCUGAGCAGCGUGCUCCAGCACUCCCAGAUGGAUGAGAAGGAUCAGGCGGACAGACCGACGCUUUCCAAGCGGUUUGGGGGGUCUCUGCUAUCACAAGCUGUCCAGCCACGUGAUGGGGGAAGGUUUUUUUGACACAGCAGAUCGGGGAAUAUGUUGUCCUUUAGCAACUUGAUUAUUAGUCUUUCAUUUAAAAGAAUGAUCAGAAAGAGCAAAAAAAUGCCAAAAAACUUUGGGCAAAACCCAGUUCUCCUCUUUGCUCUGCACCUGGCACAAUGUGCUCUCAUUCCUCACGGAAAGGUCCACUUUGGGAAUAAAGACAUAGUGCUGGCUAUCCUGCCACCCAUAAGGCAUCCUUGCCCUCAGACUAGGCCCAAGAGUGCAAGAAGCCGCCAAAGGCUAAUUGUGACUGAUCUGUUAAUCAGAUAUUCAACAUGAGGCUGCACAAAGAAUUAGGGCCGUGAUGACAAAAAGCCGCAGAGCAGCGCGUCUUGCAGAAGAAGACUGGCAGGUUCUCCCAGGACAUGACUUGAACAUGGCCAUACGCCGAGGUAAAGCUGCUGGUGUGAGCAGCGAGCCCGGGGCCUGGGACCCAGCCUGUGCCAGGGAAAUACCUCGACUGUGAGCAGCACGUGGGCGCACGCUUACAGCUACGCACACGCUCACGUGCUGCGCUGGAGGUGCAGGGAAAGCAAAGCAAAGCAAAGCGCUAGGCAGCUCGUGUCGUCGAGGUCAGCUUUUGAAAUGAGAGGUCUCCAUGCAACAGAUGUCUAACCCAAAGGGCUCCCCAGAACGGCUGUUCCCAGCUGCCAAGGAGUGGGUACUGGUUACCAGCAGAGCUUGCGUGUAAUCCCCCAUGGAAAGUAUGUGCCCUGGGUGCACCUCACCUGCCCGUGCGCUGCCGGUGUCGCUGCUCGCUCUGGCAUCUCUGCUCUCGAUUUCAAGGGAAAACUGAUAAGAAGAGAGAGAAAGUGAGAGAGAGCAGAGACUCGAGCCGGUGUCCCUUGCAGAGGCCGUGCCCUGCUGCCGUUGUUGCGAUAGAGAUGGGAGAAACCCCAGAGCCUCUCUUCUGCAGAGCCAGCGUGGCAAAGGGCUCCUUUAUCUCCCCUCCGGUGCGAGAUAAGGUAUCAGUGUUGUCCUGCCAGAGCAGCUGUGUAUCUCCGGCAGAUACCUCCCCUUGCUGCAGCAAGCUUUCAGGCACUCUGGAAAGAUUUGAGCAAGACCGUAUCUCUGAAACCCGGGCGCAACGGAAAGACGCACAGGGUGGGUCGCAUCCUCACCGCGGGGCUCGGAGCGCCUCGCUGCCCGCGCGAGGACCGGGCCGCCUGCCUCAGCUUGCAGGCCUGGCCGCGAGGGUCCUGUGCAGGACGGGGACCCCAGACCGAACCAGGGCCGGGCGCUGGGCUCCGCACGGCCCAGGGAACCCGCGCAUUUUCACUGAUUUCUCCGGCCGGUGGAGGUGCGAUCCCUGUCCGGCACCGCUGCUCGCCGAGCCCGGCCAGCUGCCGGCACGGUCAGACGGGAAAACCGCUGCCGAAGCACACCGAAACGAAGCCCUUCGCCUCACUCCAUGAAUUCCAGCUGUCCCUAUCCCCCACCAGCACCACCUACGCAGACAGUUGGGUGAGAUUUUCCUAGUCUGGUUAAUCUCCCUUAAGGGAAUAUACCUCCAGGGAUGGGUCUGUCAUCCCCUAAUCAGGGCAGAUGUGCGAGAUUUUGCCAGAAAAGUCCAAAUCCUAAAUGCAGAACUUCUCUUUCAGUGGAAACACAAAAUAUGCAUUUUGUAUGCUCACCCUAAAGCAACACCAAAUGAUAAAAAGAGUAAAGCUCACCCCAGAUCUGCCCUCCUUUGAGGAUGCAGCAAGAAAACGUCCCUUCCCCGUUUCAAAGCUUAAUGAGCUGCUUUGAUGAUACCUGAAUAUUUUUAGAACUGACCAAACUUAACAACUGUUUUAAUGAGUCAGUGAGAACUGUAUCUUACUGCAACAAGCUGCUUACUUUAAUGCCUCUCACAUAUAUGUGUAUUUGAAAAGCAUGAGCUGGGUUUCUCCAGGGUGACUUAUCAUCAUCUGGGAAUUUGAACCUCCUCUUUGAUUGUGCUCUGCCGUCCCCUACAAAGGACCUGGUUGCACAGCUUUUGGAAGCUCUUCAGUGGCAAUUUCUAUGAAAUCCUCAUGCAACAUCAUGAGGAAAGUCUGGGAGGAAAAGGCAUAUCAUCAAAAAAAAAAAAAAAAAAAAAGGAGGAUAAAGCAUAAAAGCCAUGCUUUUGCAGAGGCUGACAAAAGAGCUCACCACAAGGGAUUAAAGCUCUCGGAGCAGGCGGCUGAGUGCCAGCGGUUCGGUGGUGCAUCGGCACACUUCUCCACGUGGCAAAAGCAGGAGACUCGGCAGCACCUUUGUGUUGGCCAACACGAGAUUGGCUUCUGGGUGAAGCCACUGAAAGGGGAAGUAUUUCCCUCUCACCAAAUGCAUGCGCUGAAAGCUGUUUGCAUGGCACAAAAUGGUGUUAGAUCCUGGGGAGGCAACUUCUGGGCUGCUCUAUCCGUCACCGAAGUCCUGAGAGCUACAGAGCCCUUCUCCGCUGCACUUUCAGCUGACACCCUCUUUCCCAACAGCUUUUGCUACUCAGUAAACAGACAAGAAUAAUUGAAAUUUAAAACCUGCCCAGAUGCAGAGCACUUGCAAAUGAUUAAAAGUUUUAAUUGUCAAAAAUACUUGGUGUGUUGAAAAAUACACUCAGGGCCGGUUCUGAUCUCAUUUGCGUGGGACUCAGUCCGGAAGAGAUCUCCGUGGAGAAAUCCAGAAGAAAGGAAGGGACAUUGAACUAAUGGCGUUCUAAAGAAAUUAGCUAGUGCUUAUGGAUAUUAAGCCAAAUAACACACAGCUGAAUAGAGCUCGAUGUCUUCUUUAUAAAAUUAAUAAAGUGCAUAAUAGAUAA